AGAGUCCAUAUCGACGGCAUGGUUUGGCACCUCGAUGUCGGCUCGUCGCAUCCUGGGGCUGGAGUAGGUCCCAAGGGUUGGGCUGUUCGCCCAUUAAAGCGGUACGCGAGCUGGGUUUAGAACGUCGUGAGACAGUUCGGUCCCUAUCCUCUGCGCGCGCAGGAAAUUUGAGAAGAGCUAUCCCUAGUACGAGAGGACCGGGAUGGACGAACCUCUGGUGUGUCAGUUGUUCCGCCAGGAGCACCGCUGAUUAGCUACGUUCGGAACGGAUAACCGCUGAAAGCAUCUAAGCGGGAAGCCGGCUUCAAGAUGAGAUUUCCAUGACUUCGGUCGAGAGGCUCCCAGCUAGACUACUGGGUUGAUAGGCGGGAUGUGGAAGUGCGGACUAAAGACGCAUGGAGCUGACCCGUACUAAUAAGCCGAUAAAUUGAUAACA
RNAcentral lists this ribosomal RNA (436 nucleotides) under Leifsonia sp. RNAcentral describes it as "partial 23S ribosomal RNA". It matches the Rfam family "Bacterial large subunit ribosomal RNA", at positions 2495 to 2925 of the family's 2925-position model. Lineage: Bacteria; Bacillati; Actinomycetota; Actinomycetes; Micrococcales; Microbacteriaceae. The record is from RNAcentral.